UUUCUUUAUAGCAAGCUAUAAAGAAAAUUAGUGGCAGGCGGGUGAGUAAUAAAUAGGAAUCUACCUAGCAGUAAGGAAUAACCUCUAGAAAUAGAGACUAAUACCAUAUAUUACCGGUUUAUGUAGUGUAAAUCGGGAAAGAUUUAUCGCUGUUAGAUGAGCCUAUUUCGGAUUAGCUAGUUGGUGGGGUAAAGGCCUACCAAGGCGAUGAUCCGUAGCUGGUUUGAGAGAAUGAUCAGCCACAUUGGGACUGCGACACGGCCCAAACUCCUACGGGAGGCAGCAGUAGGGAAUAUUGGACAAUGGGCGAAAGCCUGAUCCAGCAAUACCACGUGAGCGACGAAGGCCUUCGGGUUGUAAAGCUCUUUCGGCAGGGAAGAUAAUGACUGUACCUGCAUAAGAAGCACCGGCUAACUUCGUGCCAGCAGCCGCGGUAAGACGAAGGGUGCUAGUGUUGUUCGGAAUCAUUGGGCGUAAAGGGUACGUAGGCUGUAUAGAAAGUUAGAUGUUAAAGCCCACGGCUUAACUGUGGAAUCGCAUCUAAAACUACUAUUCUAGAGUGUGAUAAAGGAUAGCGGAAUUUCUAGUGUAGGGGUAAAAUCCGUAGAUAUUAGAAAGAACACCAGUGGCGAAAGCGGCUAUCUAUGUCAUUACUGACGCUGAAGUACGAAAGCGUGGGGAGCAAACAGGAUUAGAGACCCUGGUAGUCCACGCAGUAAACGAUGAGUGCUAAUUGUCGGAAUCUUAGAUUUCGGUGGUAAAGCUAACGCAUUAAGCACUCCGCCUGGGUAGUACGGCCGCAAGGCUAAAACUCAAAGGAAUUGACGGGGACCCGCACAAGCGGUGGAGCACGUGGUUUAAUUCGGUGCUACCCGAAAAACCUUACCAACUUUUGCAUGGCUAUCGCGGAGAUCAGAGAUGAACUCCUUCAGUUAGGCUGGAUAGCACACAGGUGAUGCAUGGCUGUCGUCAGUUCGUGUCGUGAGAUGUUAGGUUAAGUCCUUUAACGAACAGAACCCUCGUCCUUAUUUGCCAGCGGGUCAUGCCGGGAACUAUAAGGAAACCGCCAGUGAUAAACUGGAGGAAGGUGGGGACGAUGUCAAGUCAUCAUGUCCUUUAUAGGUUGGGCCACACACGCGCUACAAUGGCGGUAACAACGCGAAGCAAAAGAGCGAUCUUGAGCAAAUCCUUCAAAAUCCGUCUCAGUUCAGAUUGCAGGCUGCAAUUCGCCUGCAUGAAGUCGGAAUCGCUAGUAAUCGCAGAUCAGCAUGCUGCGGUGAAUACGUUCUCGGGUCUUGUACACACUGCCCGUCAAGCCAUGGAAGCUGUCUUUAUCUGAAUUAGGUGAGCUAACCCGCAGGGGAGGCAUCCUAACACGGUAGGGGUGGUGACUGGGGUUAAGUCGAAACAAGGUA
Molecule: ribosomal RNA, 1415 nt
Filed under: metagenome
Description: bacterial SSU rRNA
Rfam family: Bacterial small subunit ribosomal RNA
Source: RNAcentral